UAGAUUAUAGUUAAAAUAUAACAUUUAAAUUGCAAUUAAAAAUUAUUAAAUAAAUUUAUCUUUGAAUAAAUCUAA
RNAcentral lists this transfer RNA (75 nucleotides) under Ibalia leucospoides. Its description in RNAcentral is "tRNA-Ala". The record is from RNAcentral. Lineage: Eukaryota; Metazoa; Arthropoda; Insecta; Hymenoptera; Ibaliidae.